GGCUGGCCCAAGUGCAGUGGUGUUUAUAACUAAUUGAUCACAACCAGUUACAAAUUUCUUUGUUCCUUUUCCACUCCCACUGCUUUGACUAGCCUUUC
Unclassified non-coding RNA from Prolemur simus (greater bamboo lemur), 98 nucleotides. It matches the Rfam family "Y RNA". From Rfam's summary of the family: Y RNAs are components of the Ro ribonucleoprotein particle (Ro RNP), in association with Ro60 and La proteins. The Y RNAs and Ro60 and La proteins are well conserved, but the function of the Ro RNP is not known. In humans the RNA component can be one of four small RNAs -- hY1, hY3, hY4 and hY5. The record is from Ensembl. NCBI's taxonomy places the organism in Eukaryota, Metazoa, Chordata, Mammalia, Primates, Lemuridae.